This is a long non-coding RNA of Salvia miltiorrhiza (redroot sage), 11541 nucleotides long. RefSeq lists it as uncharacterized. The record is from RefSeq and is a predicted model, not a curated record. Lineage: Eukaryota; Viridiplantae; Streptophyta; Magnoliopsida; Lamiales; Lamiaceae. The transcript is spliced from 3 exons.
UUGAAUAUCGAUUUAUUUCUCGACACCUUGAUCAAAUCAAUUUGGUCCGUCUAUUCUACCCCAAAAUCUCUCUAUAUACCAUAGCUUCUCUCAUUACCCAAACUAUCUUUUGGACAAUCGUAUCGUUUCUGAUUAUGUUUUCUACUAUUUCUUACGUUCUUGCUUGAAUAAUUUUGAUUUCUUGUGCGAUUUCGGUUGGUGCUUCUAACAUAGGCAAUCAGGUUUUGUGUUUCCGAUAGAAUACUGCUUUUGUGUUUCCGAAUGGAUUGCUAUUUUGCGACGUGCGAUUUGAUAUCUCCGACUCCGAGUCUUUUGAUUCUAAUGUUGAUUGUAUAUUGAUGGAUUUGAACUGGCGACCGUUCGAUUUAGGUUGUAAAUUUUCUGCUGCGUCUGUUAAGGGUUAUUCGGGUAUUUGGCAACGAUUGAUGAUCUAGGGAUGGUUAGGGUUCCCGGUUUGGUAUAUUUUGAUCAUGCUUCUACCGUGUCCGGACAAUAAAAAGGGUUAACAUUUUUCCCCGUCCCUGUCAAAUUUUUUUCCUUCUCCGGGGUCUGAUGCUUUGGUGAAAUUCACUUCUUUUUACUCCUCUGGCCAUGAAUGUCAAUCGCUGGAUAUUCUUCUCUUGCGUUGUGCCGAUGAGAAGUUUCAAGAGUUUUAUUCAUGAUUUUUCGUUUCAAGAUUUCACGUCUCUUCCUUUAUCUUUCUACAUCACCUAUAUUUUCUAAUUGCAGAAUCCCUGUAGUUGUGUAUUGUUGGGCAUUUUCCAGUAGUAUGGCUGAUGACUGAUUUUGGGGAAAAAGAAUGUGAGCUGUACUGUUGGACAAGAAAGGAUGAUUUUGGUCUCUAUUUAUUCCAUCACUACUAUUACUUAAUUUAUAAUCCAUAUGCGCUCAUCUAAUCUGCAGCAUUGAGCAAGUGAUAUAGGUACCAAUAUUUGGGGUUGGUCAAGCUGUAGUUCAUAAAGCUCUCUCCUUUUCAUCAGUUUUUGUUAGUUACAUAUAUAUGAAUAUUGUUUUCCACCUCACCCUAUGACAGGAGAUACAAAAUAGGUUUUGAUUCUAUCAGAGUAGGAGCUUAAGGUGGGACUAUCUUGUUCUGGUUGCUGGACAUGGACCAAUCUUUCACGCUGUCAGUGAUAUAGUGUUUACGAUGGUGGCACUGGUAGUAUAGUUAGUAUAAUAUUCUUUUUUCUACCACAUUUGAUCACCUACCUAGACUUUCCCUGCGCUUAUUGUUAUACGCUUCUAUUUCCAGAUGUCUGAUCAUGGUGUGGUUCUUAAUCAACAUUUACUGGAAAAGCAGUUCUGGUGGUUUGAUGCUUGGUUAUCUUUGCUCUCUAUUAUCAGUUUUUUUAUCUGAUUACGUAGACGUGGAUAUUGGUUUUGGCUUCACACUGUGACAGGAAAUACAAAGUAAGCUUUGAUUCUAUCAAACGUGGAGCUUAAGGUGGGGCUAUCUUGGUCUGGUUGUUAGACAUAGACCAAUCUUUGAUGCUGUCAGUGAUUCGAUGGUGACUGAGAGGGGAGUAUAGUAUAGUAUCUUUUUGAUUCAUAUUAUCUCCUACCUAGACAUUCCCCGUGCUUAUCGUUAUAUUAUUCAAUUUCCAGAUGUCUGAUUGUUGUGUGGUUUUUAAUCAACCUUCAGUGGAAGGCAGUUCUGGUUUGCUUUCUCUUUUAUCAGUUUUUUGUUUUGUUUGUUACGUAGAUGUGGAUAUUUUUUUGGCCUCACCCUGUGACAGGAGAUACAGAAUAUGUGGCAUUGAUAUAGUGUUUAUCGAGGGUGGCAGAGGGAGUAUUUGUAGUUUUCAACUGUCAUUUAUCUUCUAGCUUGGACUUUCCCCUUGCUUAUUGUUAUGCUCUUCAAUUUCCAGAUGUCUGAUCUUUGGGUGGUUCUUGAUCAGUUUUCAAGGGAAGGCGAUUCUGGUUUGAUGCUUGGUUCCCUGUUGCUCUGUUUCAUCAGUUUUUUGUUUUGUUUGUUACGUAGAUGUGGAUAUUUUUUUUGCCUCACCAUUGUGACAGGAGAUACUUUAGUGUUGAUUCUAUCAAAUUAAGAGCUUAUCCUGGUCUGGUUGUUGGACAUGGAGCAAUCUUCGAUGCUGGCCUUGAAGGGAGUAUAGUAUUUUUCUACUAGUCAUUUUUGUUCUAGUUGGACUUUCCCCUUGCUUAUUGUUUUGCUCUUCAAUUUCCAGAAGUCUGAGUCUGAUCUUUGGGUGGCUCUUUAUCAGUUUUCAAGGGAAGGCGUUCUGGUUUGAUGCUUGUUUCCGUUUUGCCUGUUUCAUCAGUUUUAUGUUUGUUACAUUGAUGUGGAUAUUUUUUUCGGCCUCACCGUGUCACAGGAGAUACAAAAUAAGUUUUGAUUCUAUCAAAUUAGGAGCUGAAGGUGGGGUAUGUUGGUCUGGUUGUUGGACAUGACCAAUGCUGAAGAUAUUUUGCUCUUUUUAAUCUGUUUUUUGAGGAGUCUACUGGUCUACACGAAAGAUGGUUUUAUUUUGAAACUAUUCCAUGCUCUUUAUAUUAUUCUCUGGUUAUAUGCUGCGAUGGUCGGCUUAUCUUCAGCAUUUCAAUUGGUGAAGAUGUGUAUAGUUUAUCUUCGACACUCAUACUGGUUAUCUACUGUUGUGGUCUCUUCUUCUUUUGAAGUUAUUCAACUCGGGUGUUCAAAUUAUGUCUGGUUUCCUCAGUUACAAGAAUGUUUACCUAAAGGCAGAAUGUCCGUUGUACUUGCUUGCUGAUAAAACCUGCUGGAUGAGAUUUUGGUGUCGCUUUGUUUUGAUCUCGCUUGUAAGGCUUCUAUUUGAUUAUGGUUGGUCUUCUACAUAUUGGGAAAGCCUCUGAAACUCUUUGCUGCUUAUAACAUUUUGAUUGGGAGGGAGUUCCUUUCGUGUGCUUAAGAUGGUGUAGUAUGUAUAUGAUGCGGUGCGAAGAUAUGGACUUCAAGUUUCUCAUAUUGGCUGUUCGUCGUGGGUUUACUGUUCUGUUCUGUUUGUUUGUUUGUUUUUUUUUUUUUUUUUUUGUCAGUAGAAGUUGUUAGUGGUAUUUGUUGACCAGGUGCUCCUGGUCUUUAGGUAUUAAUUUCGUAAACAUGUUUAGACGCUGCAAACAUGUUUUGAUUGGUGUAUAUUGUUGUUACAUCGACAAUUGUUGUACAGUUUUGUUUUGUAGUCCAUCUCUUGAUUGAUGUCUUGGAAGUCAGAUAUCAGGUCAUUGGAACCCAUGAAAUAAGAAUUAUAUCAUAUAUAUAUGAACUUUUUAUUGUCUAUAUCAGCGUGCUUAUUUUAAAAUUUGCUUGUUUGAUGUAUUUCCUCCAAAUACCUAAUGGUACAUACUUCCUUUCGUGUUUUAGUGAGAUUUCUUAUUUUGGUUAGAUUUUGUGAGGUAGUGAGAGCUUAGAAUAAAAGAUAUCCUAUAUUCAUAUAAUACAUUCAUAUCUUGUAGAACUAUGAUAGGGAAUAAUUGGGGAGCUUUCUUUUGUAGACUUUCCCGCGCUUAUCGUUAUUCUCUUCAAUUUCUAGAUGCCUGAUUGCUUUGUGGUUCUUAAUCAAGCUUCACUGGAAGGCAGUUCUUUUUUGAUGCUUGGUUAUCUUUGCUCUCUAUUAUAGCUUUUUUUUAAUGUAGACUUGGAAUUUUUUUUUUUUAUCUUUGCUCUCUAUCAUAUUUUUUUAUAAUGUAGACUUGGAAAUUUUUUGUCUGUGUCUUUACUCAUUGAUUUGUUGAUGCUGUGCCAGAGUCUGUCCUUAUGCAUUGAAACUUCUGGUCUCUCAAGUUUACAACCAGAUUUAAACAUCUACUAGUUCACGAGUCUAUCCUUAUGCAUUGAAACUUGUGGCCUUGUUUCCUGUGACUUUUUCAGUUGUUUUUCAGGUCAUUUGGGUAUUGAAUAAUGAAAUUUUGAGAAGGCUGCGUCUUUGAUGUGUUGUUCUUCCUAUUUCCCUCUCUCUGAUAUUCUCAAUAUCGUUAGGAACACCUGUUCUCCACUAAUUUGUGAUCUUUGGCUCUUGUUGGUUUUGAUUCAUUGGCAGACGAUGAUUUGUGAGCAUUUUAUAUCCAUGGAUUCUAGAAGCUCCUGUGACCAGAUAAGAUGCUAACAGUUGGUCAAGUAUUGGUUUAUUAAUUUUCUUUGUUUUAUCUACGAUCAUUUUAUAAGAGAUUAUAUUUAGCAACUUGCAGUCGGUCUAACCUGAAACCUUUUCAAGGUGCAGCUAUCUUGUUCUGGUUGUUGAACAUGGAUGGGAUGUUUGAUGCCCUUAUGCAUAUAAUGUUUGUUGAGGGAGUAAAAUAGUGGUGACUUUUGUGUUCUAUCGUUAUUUGUCUUGUUCUUGGUUAUCUUUGCUCUCUAUUAUCAUUUUUUUUGUAACGUAGACUUGGAAUUUUUUUGGGCCUCAUCCUGUGACAGGUGGUACAAUAUAAGUUUUGAUUCUAUCAAACUACGAACUUAAGGUGGAGCUAUCCUUGUCCGGUUGUUGGACACGGAGUAACCUAUGAUGGUGUCAUUGAUAUAGUGUUUAUCGAGGGUAACAGAGGGUGUACAGAAUAUAUAUUUUUUUUUUUACUAUAUUCUCUCUUCUAACUAGAGUUUUCUGUGCUUACGUUAUACUUACUCUUCAAUUUCCAGAUGUCUGAUCGUUGUGGGGUUCUUAACUGGAAGGCAGUUUAGUUUGGUGCUUGGUUAUCUUUUUCUCUUUCAUCAGUUUUUUGUUUGUUGCGUAGACAUGGAUAUUGUUCUCCGCCUCACCCCUGUGACAGGAGGUAAAGAUUAUGUUUUGAUUCUAUGAAAGUAGGAGCUUAAGGUGGGGUUAAUCUUUGUCUGGUUCGUUGCUUUGUUAUCUUUGCUCUCUAUUUUAGUAUUUUUUUGUUGUGUAGACUUGGAUAUUGUUUCGGGCCUCACCCUGUGACAGGAGAUACAAUAUAAAUUCUGAUUAUGUCAAAGUAGGAACUUAAGGUGGAGCUAUCCUUGUCGGGUUGUUGGACACAGAGUAAUCUAUGAUGCUGUCAUUGAUAUAGUGUUUAUCGAGGGUAGCAGAGGGAGUACAAAGUAGUAUUUUUUCUACUACGUUUUCUCUUCUACCUAGAGUUUCCGUGCUUAUUGUUAUACUCUUCAAUUUCCAGAUGUCUGAUCGUUGUGUGGUUUUUAAAUGCAAAGCAGUUUGGUUUAUUAUGUAGAUGUGGAUGUGGAUGUGGAUGUGGAUAGUGUUUUCUGCCUGACCCUAUGACAAAAGAUAAGAAUUAAGUUUUGAUUCUAUAAAUGUAGGAGCUUAUGUUGGGGCUAAUGUUGGUCUGGUUGUGGGAAGCAGACCAACCUUUGAUGUUGUCAUUGAUAAUAGUGUUUAUCAAGGGUAGUAGAGGUAGUAUAGUGUAGUAUGUUUUUACUGCAUUUUAUCUUCUACCUAGACUAUCCCGUGCUUACCCGUUAUUCUCAUCAAUUUCCAGAUGCCUGAUCGUUGUUUGGUUCUUAUUCAAGCUUCAUUGGAAGGCAGUUCUGGUUUGAUAAUUGGUUAUCUUUCCUCCUAUUAGGCGAACUUGUUUUGAUUGGUGUUUAUUGGUUUGAUAAUUGGUUAUCUUAUUAUUUUGAUAAUUGGUUAUCUUUGCUCGCUGCAAACUUGUUUUGAUUGGUGUUUAUUGUUUUACAUCGACGAUUAUUUUACAUCUCUUGAUUAAUCUUGGAAGUCGGAUGUUAUUCCCAAGAAAUAAUUAUUAUAUCAUAUAUAUGAACUUUUUGUUGUAUAUAUCAGCAGUGUUUCUUUUAAAAUUUUCUUGUUUGAUGUCUUUUCUCCAAAUAACUAACGAGACAUACUUGCUUCCUGUUUUGGUGAGAUUUUCUAUUUUGGUUAGAGUUUGUGAGGAUAGGGAGAGCUUAGUAUUGAAGAUAUCCUAUAAUUCCACUCAUAUAAUACAUUCAUAUCUUGUAGAACUACGAUAGGGAAUAUAUUCGGGAGCUUUCUUUUGUAGAGAUGACUAACUUGAUCCUAAUUACUACUUGCUCAUCAGUCACCUUGUCCUCAUUACAUAUUAGAAGUAGAUGACUGCAACUAGUUCAUAUUCAAAAAAUACAAUAGGACAUUGGUACAUUAGCCACUAGGAAGAGUACGAACAGCUUGAUGUCUCUAUACUUGAACCUAUAUGUUCUUAGUCCAAUUUAUGACUUUGGGUGCCUUUGGUUGUAUUAGUAUGAGCCAAAUCAUUCUUUUUUUCGUGCAGCAAUGAAUAGUCAGGAUCUUAAAUGGAAAAGGUAUCCUUUUUGUGCUCUAUUGUGGAGAUUAGUUUCUCGUCCUGAUUGCCUAUCAUUUGUUUGUAUUUGUAUGAAAAUUGUCUAAAAUAAGUUUCUAGAAUAUUGAAAUUAUUCUUUCUAUCAAAGUAGGAGCUUAUGGUGGUGCUAAUCUUGGUCUUGUUAUUGGACACGUAUCAACCUUUGUCGUUUUCAUUGAUAUAGUGUUUAUCGAGGGUGGCAGAAUGAGUAUUGUAUUUUUUCUACUACAAUUUAUCUUCCACUUAGACUUUCCCGUGCUUAUCAUUAUUCUCUUCAAUUUCCAUAUGCCUGAUUGCUGUGUGGUUCUUGGUCAAGCUUCACUGGAUGGCAGUUCUUGUUUGAUGCUUGGUUAUCUUUGCUCUCUAUUAUAGUUUUUCUUUGUUAUGUAGACUUGGAAAUUUUUUCGGCCUCACCCUGUGACAGGAGAUACAAAAUAAGUUUUAAUUAUAUCAAAGUAAGAGGUUAAGGUGGGGCUAUCUUGGUCGGGUUGUUGGGCACGGACUAAUCUAUGAUGCCGCCAUUGAUAUAAUUGUUUAUCGAGGGUAGCAGAGUGAGUGCAUAAUAGUAUUUUUUUUUUUCAACAUUUUCUCUUCUACCUAGAGUUUCUCUUGCUUAUUGUUAUACUCUUAAAUUUCCAGAUGUCUGAUCGUUGUAUGGUUCUUAACUGUAGGGCGAUAAAAAGGAUUAACAUUUUUCCCAGUCCCUGUUAAAUUAUUUUCCUUCUCCGGGGUCCUGAUUCUUUGGUGAAUUCACUUCUUUUUCACUUCGCUAUGUCAAUCACUGGAUGUCCUCGUUUCUUGUAUUGGCAUGGAGGUCUAUUCAAUUGAAAAGUCAGUCAACAUAGCGGCAGCCCACAGUUUAAUUAUUUUUACUUGGCUAAGCUAUUUUCUGUAGUAUCUUUUUAUAUUUUUUUAUGUUCCUUUAUGUUUCCACAUCACCUAUAUUUUUUCAUUGCAGAAUCCCUGUAGUUGUGUAUCAUUUGGUGCCUUGGUUAUUUUUUCCCGUCAACCAUGUCAGUGGCGAUGCUACUGGGAUUGGUCAGUCUACAGUAUCAUUUUUUGUAAUCAACCUCUAUCUAACCAGUUUUAUUGAUGACAUUUCAGAUAACUACCUUUCUUAGAGGUGUGUAUGUGCCUUUAUUUAUUGAUAUGUUGAUGCUGUGCCAGAGUCUGGUCCUUAGGCAUUGAAACUUGUGGUCUCUCAAUUUUACAACCAGAUUUAAACAUCUGCUAGUUCACAAAUCUAUCCUUAUGCAUUGAAACUUGUGGUCUUGUAUCUUGUCACUUUUUCAGUUGUUUUUCAGGUCAUUUGGGUAUUGAAAAAUGAAAUUCGUAUAAGGCUGCGGCUGCGAUGUGUUGCUCUUCCUAUUUCCCUCUCUCCGGUUUUCUUAAUAUCGUUAGGAACACCUGUUUUCCACCAAUUUGUGAUCUUUGGCUCUUGUUGGUUUUGAUUCAUUAGCAGACCAUCAUUUGUCACCCUGGCAUUUUAUAUCCAUGGAUACUAGAAGCUCCUGUGACCAGAUAAGAUGGCUACAAUUGGUCAAGUUUUGGUUUAUUAAUUAUCUUUGUUUUAUCUACGAUCAUUUAUAGGAGAAUAUAUUCAACAACUUGGAGUCGGUCUAAUCUGAAAUUUUUCAAGGUGCAGCUAUCUUGUUCUUGUUGUUGAGCAUCGAUGGUAUGCUUGAUGCCCCUAUACAUAUAAUGUUUGUGGAGGGAGUAAAAUAGUGAUCACUUAUGUGUUCUAUCGUUAUUUGCCUUGUCAGUCCCUUUGCAUAUAUAUUUGUUCCUGUACUUUCAGAGGUUUGAAUUUUGGUGGCUCUGGCUGUUGACUACUGGGUUUGAUGAGCUUAUCUCCUUUUUACUUGCUAAUAAAUCCUAAUUUCAAAAGAAUUUGUUUGGUAUAUCUGAUGUCAGGAAAUCUAAACAGUUUGUAGUUUUUCUUCCAGGCUCAGCAUUUCUCUGGGGUGGCUAAUAAUGUUGUUAUCCCAGGUGCUGUAUUAGGUUUCUUACCUAGGUCAUUGAGUGUGUACUUUAUUUAGUUUGUUAGUGGUUGUGGUAGUAGUUUUUGUACCAAGGUAGUCAUAGUAGGUAAGUCUUCAUGUUGGUUUGCUUCUAGAACUUGUGGUUGUGCUACUAUUCCUCUUGUGCAAUGUUGGGCAUUUUCCAGUAGUAUGGCUGAUCACUGAGUUUGGAGAAAAAGGAGUUGAAAAUGUGAGCUGUACUGUUGGACAAGAAAGGUGGUUUUGGUCUCUAUUUAUUCCAUCACUACUAUUACUUAAUUUGUAAUCCAUAUGCGCGCAUCUAAUAUGCAGCAUUGAGCAAGUGAUAUAGGAGAUACAAAAUAGGUUUUGAUUCUAUCAGAGUAGGAGCUUAAGGUGGGACUAUCUUGUUCUGGUUGCUGGACAUGGACCAAUCUUUCACGCUGUCAGUGAUAUAGUGUUUACGAUGGUGGCACUGGGAGUAUAGUUAGUAUAAUAUUCUUUUUUCUACCACAUUUGAUCACCUACCUAGACUUUCCCUGCGCUUAUUGUUAUACGCUUCUAUUUCCAGAUGUCUGAUCAUGGUGUGGUUCUUAAUCAACAUUUACUGGAAAGCAGUUGUGGCGGUUUGAUGCUUGGUUAUCUUUGCUCUCUAUUAUCAAUUUUUUUAUCUGUUACGUAGACGUGGAUAUUGGUUUUGGCUUCACACUGUGACAGGAAAUACAAAGUAAGUUUUGAUUCUAUCAAUGGUGGAGCUAUCUUGGUCUGGUUGUUAGACAUAGACCAAUCUUUGAUGCUGUCAGUGAUUCGAGGUGGCUGAGGGGGGGAGUAUAGUAUAGUAUAGUAUCUUUUUGAUUCAUAUUAUCUCCUACCUAGACUUUCCCCGUGCUUAUCGUUAUAUUAUUCAAUUUCUAGAUGUCUGAUUUAUGUGUGGUUCUUAAACAACCUUCACUGAAAGGCAGUUCUGGUUUGCUCUCUUUCAUCAGUUUUUUGUUUUGUUUGUUACGUAGAUGUGGAUAUUUUUUUUGGCCUCACCCUGUGACAGGAGAUACAGAAUAUGUUUUGAUUCUGUCAAAUUAGUGGCUUAAGAUGUUUGAUCUUUGGGUGGUUCUUGAUCAGUUUUCAAGGGAAGGCGAUUCUGGUUUGAUGCUUGGUUCCCUGUUGCUCUGUUUCAUCAGUUUUUUGUUUUGUUUGUUACGUAGAUGUGGAUAUUUUUUUUAGGCCUCACCAUGUGACAGGAGAUACUUUAGUGUUGAUUCUAUCAAAUUAAGAGCUUAUCCUGGUCUGGUUGUUGGACAUGGAGCAAUCUUUGAUGCUGGCCUUGAAAUAGUGUUUAUCAGAUGUGGCAGAAGGGAGUAUAGUAUUUUUCUACUAUCAUUUUUGUUCUAGUUGGAAUUUCCCCUUGCUUAUUGUUUUGCUCUUCAAUUUACAAGUCUGAGUCUGAUCUUUGGGUGGCUCUUUAUCAGUUUUCAAGGGAAGGCAUUCUGGUGCUUGAUUCUCUCAAAAUAGGAGCUCAGGGUGGGGCUAUCCUUGUUGGUUUGUUGGAUGGAACAAUCUUUGAUCCUGUCAUUGAUAUAUUGUUUAUCAAGGAUGGCAGAGGGAGUAUAUAUAGUAUAAUAUAUUUUCUACUACAUUUUAUCUUCUACCUAAACUUUCCUUGUGCUUAUCCAGAUGUAUGAUAGUUGUGUGGUUCGUAGUCAACCUUCACUGUAGUUCUAAUUUGAUGCUUGGUUCCCUUUUGCCCUGAAUCUAUUUUAUAUUUGUUGCGUAGACGUUGAUAUUGUUUUUGGCCUCAUCCUGUUACAGGAUGAUUAUGAUUAAUUAGGAGCUUAAGGUGGGACUAUUUUGGUAUGGUUGUUGGACAUGGACCAACUUUGAUUCUGGCAUUGAUAUAAUGUUUAUCGAGGGUGGCAGAGGGCGUAUUAUUAUUUUUCAUCUGUCGUUUAUCUUCAAGCUGAAGCUUUCCCUCGCUUAUUGUUAUGCUCUUCAAUUUCCAGAUGUCUGAUCUUUGGGUGGUUCUUGAUUUGUUUUCAAGGUAUGGCGGUCUGUUUGAUGCUUGGUUCCCUUUUGCUCUGUCUCAUCUGUUUUUUUUUUUGUUACGUAGACAUGUAUAUUGUUUUCAGCCUCACCCUGUAACAUGAGAUACAAAAUGAGUAUCAGUCCUAUCAAAUUAGGAGCUUAAGGUGGGGCUAUCUUGGUCUGGUUGUUGGGCGUGGACCAGUCUUUGGUGCUGGCAUUGAUAUAUUGUUUAUGAGGGUGGCAGAGGAGUAUAAUAUUUUUCUACGGUCAUUUAUCUUCUUGCUGGACUUUCGACUUCCUCAUUGUUUAUGCUCUUCCUUUUCAGAUGUUCUUUGUGUAUUUCUUAACCAGUUUUCAAGGGAAUGUGGUUCUGGUUUGGUUCUUGGUCCCUUUUGCUCUACUUAAUCAGUUUUUUGUUAGUUAUGUAGAUUUGGAUAUUGUUUUCAGCCUCACCAUGGGGCUAUUUUGGUCUAGUUGUUGGACGGAUGGAUGGAUUUUUUGAUACUGACAUUGGAUAAAGUGCUUAUCGAGGGUGGCUAUUUCUGGUUUGGUUCUUGGUUCCCUUCUGCUCUACUUUAUCAGUUUUAUGUUUGUUACGUAGAUUUGGAUUAUUGUUUUCAGCCUCACCAUGUGACAGGAGAUACAAAAUAAGUUUUAGUUCGAUCAGAUAAGGAGCUUAAGAUGGGGCUAUUUUGGUCUAGUUGUUGGACAUGGAUGGAUGGAUUUUUUGAUGCUGACAGUAUUUUAAAGUGUUUAUCGAGGGUGGCAGAGGGAGUACAAUAUUUUUCUACUGCCAUUUAUCUUCUAGUUGAACUUCCCCCUUGCUUAUUUUUUUUGCUCUUCAAUUUCCAGAAGUCUGAUCUGAGGGUUGCUCAGUUUACAAGGGAAGGCGUCCUCUUGGUUUGAUUCUUGGUUCCCAUUUGGUCUGCUUCAUCAGUUUUUUGUCUGUUAUGUGGAUAUUGUUUUCGGCCUCACCUUGUAACAGGAGAUACAAAUAAGUUACUUGAGGUGGGGGCCGUGGGGGAUAUGUUGGUCCAGUUGUUGGACAUGGACCAAUCUUUGAUGCUGACAUUGAUAUAAUAUUUAUCGAGGGUGGCAGAGGGAGUAUAAUAUUUUCCUACUGUUAUUUAUCUUUUAGCUGGACAUUCCUCUUGCUUAUUGUUAUGCUCUUCAAUUUCCAGAUGUCUGAUCUUUGGGGUGGUGGUUCUUAAAGCAGAAUGUUUACAGAGGAAGGCGUUCCGGUGUUCAACUUAUAUCUGGUUUUCUUCUAUUGUUGUGGUCUUCUUUUUAAGGUUAUUCAACU